GGCAGAGGGACUGUAAACAACAACCAGAAAUACUGUUUAACUAAUUUAUAGUGUACAUACAUCUGUGUUUUUAGUUUAACAACCCAAUUAUGGAACAUGCAUUGAGAAUUUUUCUAAUUUUUUCAGCAUUUACCGAGUGCAGGGCUGCAGACAAAGUGAAUCAGACUGCUGGAGAUGUCUUUGGGUCUGAAGGAGGAUCAGUGACAAUUAACUGUAACUAUGAAACUACCUGGUCCGGCACCUACUACCUCUUCUGGUACAUCCAGUAUCCCAAUGAGGCUCCAAAGUACAUGCUGAGAAGAGGAAGUAAUGAUCUAGAUGAUAUUGCUGAAGAGUACAAGGAGAGAUUUAAUGCCAAUUUGGAAAAAACUGCAAAGACUGUACCUUUAACAGUACAGAAUGUGCAGCUGUCAGACUCUGCUGUGUAUUACUGUGCUCUGAAUCCCACAGUGAGAAUAACCUUCUCACACCCUCUACAAAAACACCUGUGCAAUAUGACUGUGACAUAACAGAGUGAAAGGUUCUUACACAAGUUUAGAUAAGUUAUAAUUCUUUCAAAUAAUAAAACAAAAUUGUAAAACAUUAUUAAUGUGCAGAAAAUAGAAUAGUUACAUGUACCAGCAUAAUUAUAUAAAAAAGUUACCUUUAGAAAUGCUACCUGUAUCAAUCACUAUAUAUAUUUUUUUUUCUUGUAAAAAAAAUACAAUUGGAAUGAAAAUAAAAAUAUUCUGACGAUUUCUUUGAAUACGAAAAUUGAAUUUGAAUAUAUCCUCUGUUUUUAAUGACCGUCGUGUUUGAGCAUAAUGUUCACCACUGAAAAAAAUGUAUAAAGGUUAAACUUAUGCAGACACUGCACCUCACUG
This is a non-coding RNA of Paramormyrops kingsleyae, 863 nucleotides long. The record is from the annotation of a RefSeq genome assembly. Lineage: Eukaryota; Metazoa; Chordata; Actinopteri; Osteoglossiformes; Mormyridae.